AGAGUUUGAUCAUGGCUCAGGACGAACGCUGGCGGCGUGCCUAAUACAUGCAAGUCGAACGAACUCUGGUAUUGAUUGGUGCUUGCAUCAUGAUUUACAUUUGAGUGAGUGGCGAACUGGUGAGUAACACGUGGGAAACCUGCCCAGAAGCGGGGGAUAACACCUGGAAACAGAUGCUAAUACCGCAUAACAACUUGGACCGCAUGGUCCGAGCUUGAAAGAUGGCUUCGGCUAUCACUUUUGGGUGGUCCCGCGGCGUAUUAGCUAGAUGGUGGGGUAACGGCUCACCAUGGCAAUGAUACGUAGCCGACCUGAGAGGGUAAUCGGCCACAUUGGGACUGAGACACGGCCCAAACUCCUACGGGAGGCAGCAGUAGGGAAUCUUCCACAAUGGACGAAAGUCUGAUGGAGCAACGCCGCGUGAGUGAAGAAGGGUUUCGGCUCGUAAAACUCUGUUGUUAAAGAAGAACAUAUCUGAGAGUAACUGUUCAGAUAUUGACGGUAUUUAACCAGAAAGCCACGGCUAACUACGUGCCAGCAGCCGCGGUAAUACGUAGGUGGCAAGCGUUGUCCGGAUUUAUUGGGCGUAAAGCGAGCGCAGGCGGUUUUUUAAGUCUGAUGUGAAAGCCUUCGG
Molecule: ribosomal RNA, 634 nt
Filed under: uncultured bacterium
Lineage: Bacteria
Description: bacterial SSU rRNA
Rfam family: Bacterial small subunit ribosomal RNA
Source: RNAcentral